Molecule: small nuclear RNA, 84 nt
Filed under: Fukomys damarensis (Damara mole-rat)
Lineage: Eukaryota; Metazoa; Chordata; Mammalia; Rodentia; Bathyergidae
Description: U2 spliceosomal RNA
Rfam family: U2 spliceosomal RNA
About the family: U2 is a small nuclear RNA (snRNA) component of the spliceosome (involved in pre-mRNA splicing). Complementary binding between U2 snRNA (in an area lying towards the 5' end but 3' to hairpin I) and the branchpoint sequence (BPS) of the intron results the bulging out of an unpaired adenosine, on the BPS, which initiates a nucleophilic attack at the intronic 5' splice site, thus starting the first of two transesterification reactions that mediate splicing.
Source: Rfam by way of RNAcentral
AUUGCUUCUCGGCCUUUUGGCUAAGAUCAAGUGUAGUUUGAGUGGAAAUCUUGCUUUUUAAAUAUAUUUCUUUGUGGAUUCUCA